Molecule: ribosomal RNA, 467 nt
Filed under: uncultured bacterium
Lineage: Bacteria
Description: partial 16S ribosomal RNA
Rfam family: Bacterial small subunit ribosomal RNA
Source: RNAcentral
GACGAACGCUGGCGGCGUGCUUAACACAUGCAAGUCGAACGGAAAGGCCCUGCUUUUGUGGGGUGCUCGAGUGGCGAACGGGUGAGUAACACGUGAGUAACCUGCCCUUGACUUUGGGAUAACUUCAGGAAACUGGGGCUAAUACCGGAUAGGAGCUCCUGCUGCAUGGUGGGGGUUGGAAAGUUUCGGCGGUUGGGGAUGGACUCGCGGCUUAUCAGCUUGUUGGUGGGGUAGUGGCUUACCAAGGCUUUGACGGGUAGCCGGCCUGAGAGGGUGACCGGCAACAUGGGAACUGAGAUACGGCCCAGACCCCUACGGGAGGAAGCAGUGGGGAAUAUUGCAAAAUGGGCGGAAGCCUGAUGCAGAAACGCCGCGUGCGGGAUGACGGCCUUCGGGUUGUAAACCGCUUUCGCCUGUGACGAAGCGUGAGUGACGGUAAUGGGUAAAGAAGAACCGGCUAACUACGU